Molecule: non-coding RNA, 91 nt
Submitted as: unclassified sequences
Source: Rfam
GUCUUUCGAGGUGAAAAUUGCGUCCUCACGCGCCGCGUGCUGUGUGCAACGGGCAAAAGAGAUACCGGGGGUGACGCGCCGGUCGAAAGAG